GUGCUGCUAAAGGAAAAAUCGGGUGUUCCGGGGUAAAUAUCCUUUACACAACAUGAGAAGCGAAUGUUAUAAAACUUACAAAAAAUUACAAUAACGAAAACCAUUCCUCGAAAUUUUUGUGAACUUGGCAAAACGAUAAAUGAAUAUUUAAAUAAGACAACUGAAAUUGUCUAAAUAACCUUCAAAGCACCGACUAAGUACGAUAAAUCACUACGAACAUAAAUCGUAUACACCCCCCGGAAAGUUUACUGUAUGA
Molecule: non-coding RNA, 256 nt
Organism: Paramuricea clavata
Lineage: Eukaryota; Metazoa; Cnidaria; Anthozoa; Malacalcyonacea; Plexauridae
Source: the annotation of a GenBank genome assembly